This 497-nucleotide ribosomal RNA is filed under the name uncultured bacterium. Its description in RNAcentral is "partial 16S ribosomal RNA". It matches the Rfam family "Bacterial small subunit ribosomal RNA", at positions 28 to 507 of the family's 1533-position model. The record is from RNAcentral.
GAUGAACGCUGGCGGCGUGCCUAAUACAUGCGAGUCGAGCGAACGGACGAGAAGCUUGCUUCUCUGAUGUUAGCGGCGGACGGGUGAGUAACACGUGGAUAACCUACCUAUAAGACUGGGAUAACUUCGGGAAACCGGAGCUAAUACCGGAUGAUAUUUUGAACCGCAUGGUUCAAAAGUGAAAGACGGUCUUGCUGUCACUUAUAGAUGGAUCCGCGCUGCAUUAGCUAGUUGGUAAGGUAACGGCUUACCAAGGCAACGAUGCAUAGCCGACCUGAGAGGGUGAUCGGCCACACUGGAACUGAGACACGGUCCAGACUCCUACGGGAGGCAGCAGUAGGGAAUCUUCCGCAAUGGGCGAAAGCCUGACGGAGCAACGCCGCGUGAGUGAUGAAGGUCUUCGGAUCGUAAAACUCUGUUAUUAGGGAAAAACAUAUGUGUAAGUAACUGUGCACAUCUUGACGGUACCUAAUCAGAAAGCCACGGCUAACUACGUG